This 284-nucleotide unclassified non-coding RNA is filed under the name Hevea brasiliensis (rubber tree). The record is from RNAcentral. Lineage: Eukaryota; Viridiplantae; Streptophyta; Magnoliopsida; Malpighiales; Euphorbiaceae.
GGGGUGGUAACUUUGACAGUACUCAAGAGAUCAUGGUAUGUGGACAGAUUGGGUUCAAAAACAAACAUGCCAGCGUUGAAGUAAAGGGGAGGUUUAGGACCCAUCUCAGUAGGCCACUGAACCCUAUCAGGGCACUGUUGGCAGUAGCCAAUCUUGUGCUGCAGGGAGUGACUCCAUGUCUGUUCACAGAAACAGUCCAUAACACCAUAAAAGUAGCCAUCUUGCACGUCAAAGAGGUGGUCUAUAUUCUCAAACACUUGGAUGUCACCAUCCAAAUAUAUCAU